Molecule: non-coding RNA, 921 nt
Filed under: Hyalinobatrachium mondolfii
Lineage: Eukaryota; Metazoa; Chordata; Amphibia; Anura; Centrolenidae
Description: partial 12S ribosomal RNA
Rfam family: Bacterial small subunit ribosomal RNA
Source: RNAcentral
AAAGGUUUGGUCCUAACCUUGAAAUCAAUUAUUACUUAAUAUACACAUGCAAGUCUCCGCACCCCUGUGAGAACGCCCUUAAAUCCCCAUUAGGGAUAAGGAGCUGAUAUCAGGCACAACUAAAAUUGCCCAAAACAUCUAGCUACGCCACACCCACAAGGGAACUCAGCAGUGAUUAACAUUGAGAAUAAGCGACAGCUUGACUCAGUUAAAGUAAAAAGAGCCGGCAAAUCUGGUGCCAGCCGCCGCGGUUACACCACGUGGCCCAAAUUGAAUUCUAUCGGCGUAAAGCGUGAUUAAAGUCAAACUACCACUGGAGUUAAACUAAAACUAAGCUGUGACACGCUUGUGCUUAAGAAAACCAAAAACGAAAGUUACUCCAAACCGAACAACUUGAACUCACGACAGCUGAAACACAAACUGGGAUUAGAUACCCCACUAUGCUCAGCCGUAAACUUUAAAUUACACCAAAAUCGCCCGGGAACUACGAGCAAAGCUUAAAACCCAAAGGACUUGACGGUACCCCACAUCCACCUAGAGGAGCCUGUCCUACAAUCGAUACCCCCCGUUCAACCUCACCACUUCUAGCCUAAAUCAGCCUGUAUACCUCCGUCGUCAGCUUACCACGUGAGCGCAAAUCAGUGAGCCUAAUGCCCACACGCCAAUACGUCAGGUCAAGGUGCAGCAAAUGAAGUGGGAAGAGAUGGGCUACACUCUCUAAUAUAGAAAAUACAAAUGACUAUUUAUGAAAUCUAGUCUGAAGGCGGAUUUAGAAGUAAAAAGAAAACACGAGCAUUCUUUUUAACCCGGCACUGGGGUGUGUACACACCGCCCGUCACCCUCCUCAAAGCCACCACAAAGUAAACAACCAAUAAACGCAACACAGAAGAGGCAAGUCGUAACAUGGUAAGUAUACCGGAA